This 465-nucleotide ribosomal RNA is filed under the name uncultured bacterium. Its description in RNAcentral is "partial 16S ribosomal RNA". It matches the Rfam family "Bacterial small subunit ribosomal RNA", at positions 339 to 795 of the family's 1533-position model. The record is from RNAcentral.
CUACGGGUGGCUCCAGUGAGGAAUUUUGCGCAAUGGGGGAAACCCUGACGCAGCAACGCCGCGUGAGUGAUGAAGGCCUUCGGGUCGUAAAGCUCUGUCAAGUGGGAAGAACCUAUCCAAGGGUAAUAUUCUUGGGUACUGACGGUACCACUGAAGGAAGCACCGGCUAACUCCGUGCCAGCAGCCGCGGUAAUACGGGGGGUGCAAGCGUUAUUCGGAAUUAUUGGGCGUAAAGGGCGCGUAGGCGGUUUUGUUAGUCAGAUGUGAAAGCCCGGGGCUCAACCCCGGAAGUGCAUUUGGUACUGCAAGACUUGAGUAUGGGAGAGGGAAGUGGAAUUCCUGGUGUAGAGGUGAAAUUCGUAGAUAUCAGGAGGAACAUCUGUGGCGAAGGCGACUUCCUGGACCAAUACUGACGCUAAGGCGCGAAGGCGUGGGUAGCAAACAGGAUUAGAUACCCUAGUAGUC